GGAACGCGAUCAGUGCCGUGAGCUGCGUCUUCGCAGGUCAAGUAAGAUCGGCAUGCGUCUUUGCAAGCAGGAAGUCAGGGGUUCGAAUCCCCUAGGCUCCA
RNAcentral lists this transfer RNA (101 nucleotides) under Microbispora rosea subsp. rosea. RNAcentral describes it as "tRNA-Ala". The record is from RNAcentral. Lineage: Bacteria; Bacillati; Actinomycetota; Actinomycetes; Streptosporangiales; Streptosporangiaceae.